UUCAAUUGUUCCUAUCCUACUGUAGGUUAGUUCUCCUUCUUUUUUAGAUUCUAUCGAAGAUAAGCAUCUCGAGCUCAUUGGCAGAUAGUGUUGGGGAUGUCUAGUCAGGACACCACCUUCAUAGGAUCAUUUUGAUACUAUGCAUCGAAGUAGAAAGAAAGAAGAAAUAAAAUAGAAACACAAUCAAUUACGUGGAUCAGCCAAAAGGCUCGCCUCCACGGGGCAUACAAGCUUCAUUAUGAAAAAUAAAUUACAACAGGAGAUCACACCCUCAACCCUCCUACACCCAAUCUCUCUCUCACAAAAAGCUCUCCCUCAUAAAAAUUCUCUCUCUAGGA
This 338-nucleotide long non-coding RNA is filed under the name Elaeis guineensis (African oil palm). Its description in RNAcentral is "long non-coding RNA (EGUI_LNC008949)". The record is from RNAcentral. Lineage: Eukaryota; Viridiplantae; Streptophyta; Magnoliopsida; Arecales; Arecaceae.